CAUUAGCCGAGAUGGCUUACAAACAGUGCAGGAUGGAGAAAAGCCACUGAAGCAUUUCUUUAGUUUAACUCCUGAUAAUUAUGGAGGACCAGACAUUAUAGAAAUGCAACAACCUGUACGAAGGUCACACAUCAACCUGAAUAAUACUGGAUUAGAGCAAAGCUAACCUGUUGCCUGGUCCAGGUUUGCAAGCUAUGAGGAGGGGAGGUUCGUGGGAAUUUCCAAAGAGUCCGAGGUGUAAUGGAAGGCUGACGGGCGGGCAGGCAAGCAAGCAGGGAGACGAAACAGAUAUCCAGGCUCUCGAUGGGCGAGGAGGGGCUGGUCAGUUCCAGAUGGGAACACCUGGGCCACGUGUUCCCAGACUACAAAGCUACCGAUGGCACUUCAUUCUACCCUUUGCUCUCCAGCCUGCCUGCCACCAUGCUCUGCAUCUUUUUAGUCUCCCUUUGGUUUUCCUGUGUUGCUUUCUGCACUUACAAAACACACGUUUCCUCACCCUACACAUCAUACAUUGUUGAUCCUACUGAUUCUUUGUGCAUUAAAAUAAUUAGUAAUACUGAAAAACAGCAUGUUUGGCCUUAUGACACACAGGGCUGCCCAUCUUCAAGAUGUCAAGCUCUCUUCUUGUUAAAAGGGAGUUCUUCCUCCCCACUGUCUCCAAGUGUUUGUUAAUAGGGGGCC
Molecule: long non-coding RNA, 681 nt
Organism: Oreochromis aureus
Lineage: Eukaryota; Metazoa; Chordata; Actinopteri; Cichliformes; Cichlidae
Source: Ensembl